AGAGUUUGAUCCUGGCUCAGGAUUAACGCUGGCGGCGUGCAUGAAACAUGCAAGUCGAGCGCGGUGCGUGCGGGGGUAACCCCAAUCGCAUCUAGCGGCGAACGGGUGAGUAACACGUGAGCAACCCACCUUCGAGUCCGGGAUAGCCCUGGGAAACCAGGAUUAAUACCGGAUGUGGUCACGACGUGGCAUCGCGUUGU
Molecule: ribosomal RNA, 200 nt
Filed under: uncultured bacterium
Lineage: Bacteria
Description: partial 16S ribosomal RNA
Rfam family: Bacterial small subunit ribosomal RNA
Source: RNAcentral